GAUGAACGCUAGCUACAGGCUUAACACAUGCAAGUCGAGGGGCAGCAUGGUCUUAGCUUGCUAAGGCCGAUGGCGACCGGCGCACGGGUGAGUAACACGUAUCCAACCUGCCGUCUACUCUUGGACAGCCUUCUGAAAGGAAGAUUAAUACAAGAUGGCAUCAUGAGUCCGCAUGUUCACAUGAUUAAAGGUAUUCCGGUAGACGAUGGGGAUGCGUUCCAUUAGAUAGUAGGCGGGGUAACGGCCCACCUAGUCUUCGAUGGAUAGGGGUUCUGAGAGGAAGGUCCCCCACAUUGGAACUGAGACACGGUCCAAACUCCUACGGGAGGCAGCAGUGAGGAAUAUUGGUCAAUGGGCGAGAGCCUGAACCAGCCAAGUAGCGUGAAGGAUGACUGCCCUAUGGGUUGUAAACUUCUUUUAUAAAGGAAUAAAGUCGGGUAUGUAUACCCGUUUGCAUGUACUUUAUGAAUAAGGAUCGGCUAACUCCGUGCCAGCAGCCGCGGUAAUACGGAGGAUCCGAGCGUUAUCCGGAUUUAUUGGGUUUAAAGGGAGCGUAGAUGGAUGUUUAAGUCAGUUGUGAAAGUUUGCGGCUCAACCGUAAAAUUGCAGUUGAUACUGGAUAUCUUGAGUGCAGUUGAGGCAGGCGGAAUUCGUGGUGUAGCGGUGAAAUGCUUAGAUAUCACGAAGAACUCCGAUUGCGAAGGCAGCCUGCUAAGCUGCAACUGACA
RNAcentral lists this ribosomal RNA (728 nucleotides) under uncultured Bacteroidales bacterium. RNAcentral describes it as "bacterial SSU rRNA". It matches the Rfam family "Bacterial small subunit ribosomal RNA", at positions 28 to 745 of the family's 1533-position model. Lineage: Bacteria; Pseudomonadati; Bacteroidota; Bacteroidia; Bacteroidales. The record is from RNAcentral.